GAGCGAAGUGUUCCCGGCGGCGAUCACCACCACUUUACGCGGUAGAGCUUGGACUGAAAGUUCGCCGGAGUUUGGACUGAAAGUUCAGAGAUUUUAAGAAGAAGAAAACUAGUCAAUGAGAAAGAAACAUAAAAUAAAGUAAUGUAGUACCUUUAUAAAGAGCCAAAAGGGAGGUUUCUUCCAAUUUCCACAUAGAAAAUUUACCUAAGAUUUUCUUACCGAAACGAAAAGUGAAUAGUAUUAAAAACAAAUCAAUACACUCUUUUUUUGUGGUUAAUGUGGUGGGUUAGGGAUGGAGAUAUAAGUUGAGGGUAAAUUUGCCUGUUGAUGGUUUCAUUUCUUCUUCAUUUUUGUUAUUGGUAAGUGACUAAUUGGAAUUUUGUCCAUCAUUUUC
This 394-nucleotide long non-coding RNA is filed under the name Nicotiana benthamiana. Its description in RNAcentral is "long non-coding RNA (NBEN_LNC016215)". The record is from RNAcentral. Lineage: Eukaryota; Viridiplantae; Streptophyta; Magnoliopsida; Solanales; Solanaceae.